This 510-nucleotide ribosomal RNA is filed under the name uncultured bacterium. RNAcentral's name for it is "partial 16S ribosomal RNA". It matches the Rfam family "Bacterial small subunit ribosomal RNA", at positions 28 to 507 of the family's 1533-position model. The record is from RNAcentral.
GACGAACGCUGGCGGCGUGCUUAACACAUGCAAGUCGAACGAAGAGCGAUGGAAGCUUGCUCCUAUCAAUCUUAGUGGCGAACGGGUGAGUAACGCGUAAUCAACCUGCCCUUCAGAGGGGGACAACAGUUGGAAACGACUGCUAAUACCGCAUACGAUCUAAUCUCGGCAUCGAGGAUAGAUGAAAGGUGGCCUCUACAUGUAAGCUAUCACUGAAGGAGGGGAUUGCGUCUGAUUAGCUAGUUGGAGGGGUAACGGCCCACCAAGGCGAUGAUCAGUAGCCGGUCUGAGAGGAUGAACGGCCACAUUGGGACUGAGACACGGCCCAGACUCCUACGGGAGGCAGCAGGGGGGAAUCUUCCGCAAUGGACGAAAGUCUGACGGAGCAACGCCGCGUGAGCGAUGACGGCCUUCGGGUUGUAAAGCUCUGUUAAUCGGGACGAAAGGCCUUCUUGCGAAUAGUGAGAAGGAUUGACGGUACCGGAAUAGAAAGCCACGGCUAACUACGUG